RNAcentral lists this non-coding RNA (47 nucleotides) under Bacillus sp. (in: firmicutes). RNAcentral describes it as "Bacillus sp. PreQ1-I sequence". It matches the Rfam family "PreQ1 (pre queuosine) riboswitch aptamer". From Rfam's summary of the family: This family is a bacterial riboswitch that binds to the metabolite preQ1, an intermediate in the biosynthesis of the modified nucleoside queuosine from GTP. One example of this riboswitch is located in the leader of the Bacillus subtilis ykvJKLM (queCDEF) operon which encodes four genes necessary for queuosine production. The record is from RNAcentral. RNAcentral also lists the same sequence under 1 other name. Lineage: Bacteria; Bacillati; Bacillota; Bacilli; Caryophanales; Bacillaceae.
GCAGGAGAGGUUCAUAGCCCAAACCCUCUAUAAAAAACUAUGGAUGA